Molecule: ribosomal RNA, 502 nt
Filed under: uncultured bacterium
Lineage: Bacteria
Description: bacterial SSU rRNA
Rfam family: Bacterial small subunit ribosomal RNA
Source: RNAcentral
AAUCAACGCUGGCGGCGUGCCUCAGACAUGCAAGUCGAACGAUUAAAGCUCUCUUCGGAGAGUGUAUAGAGUGGCGCACGGGUGAGUAACACGUAAGUAAUCUACCCUCGGGUGGGGAAUAACAUCGGGAAACCGAUGCUAAUACCGCAUAAUGCAGCGGCUCCUAAUGGAGACAGUUGUUAAAGGAUUUAUUCGCCUGAGGAGGAGCUUGCGGCAGAUUAGCUAGUUGGUAAGGUAAUGGCUUACCAAGGCUACGAUCUGUAGCCGGUCUAAGAGGACGGUCGGUCACACUGACACUGAAUAACGGGUCAGACUCCUACGGGAGGCAGCAGUCGGGAAUUUUGGGCAAUGGGCGAAAGCCUGACCCAGCAACGCCGCGUGAAGGAUGAAGUAUUUCGGUAUGUAAACUUCGAAAGAAUAGGAAGAAUUAAUGACGGUACUAUUUAUAAGGUCCGGCUAACUACGUGCCAGCCGCCGCCGUAACACCUGAGACUCCAAGGCA